AAAAUAAACCUGAAAAACAUAGUUUGUACGUCAUCAGGAUUUACCUAGUAAAUACAAAAAGAAGACAGAGGAUAAUAGAUAUCGCGUGGAGAUUUUAUCACAAAGAAAUUCAACAAGAAAAUGUAAUUGUAAAUGUGGAACAGCAUUGAAACUACAAACUUAAAGGAAACCAAAGAUGUACAACACAAAUAUUGUAGUGGGAAGUCAAAAAGAAAACGAAGAAGAGAAAAAAGCAAAAUGUGACGUGUUAGCUGUUUAUAUGCCAGAUGAAGAAAUCCAAAGUCAGUUAACAACAAAGAAAAAAACAACUCAGGAAUGUAUAGACUACCGGAGUUAUCUCCCUGUAUACCAACCAACAACAAUACCUUUUCGAAAUGACCUGAAAAAGCACAAACACAGAAAAAUAUUACUGGGAAUACUUUUUGCAUCAAUAAUAGUGCUGUUCAUGGCCCUUGGAGGAACGAUAGGGUACGGCAUAUACAAGGGAAUGUUCUAAGAGACCACCAAUUAAAAAUGGAGGCAUUAUAACGAAGGGUUGCAGUUCAACUGCCGCCAUGAAAGACUGGAAAUUGAUGAACAGAAGAAAAUUACUGACAGAGUUGGUGCUUCUAUAUGUUUAACAAUACGAUAUGCAAAAAAACCAAGGUUGUUCAAAAACUAUAAAAGUGCCUUUUGCGGAUAUAUUUUUUGAUAAAAAUGCAUUUUUUAAACAAUUUUAUAAACUGCUUUAUUUGUGAGUGUAAUUAAACUGUCAUCAUGUAUAACUUCGGUAUGUUCUCAUUAUAUUUUGUAUGCAGAAUGACAGAUUUUGCCCGACAAUUCCUUAAGGAAGUUCGCUUGUCAUGUUUUGGAUUUUUUGUCAGAUUUUCGGAAUCCUCUGGUUUUAUCUAUUUGAAUGCCUUAAAAAAUUUUGCCCAUUGACCCCAUUUUUCUUUAUAAAAAUCUUUUACAUGCAUAAUUAUAAGCCAUCUGUAAAAGUCUUAUAAAAUCUUAAUUAUUUUUUAAUAGUUUUUGAGAACUUAAUUUGUCAAUGAUAAAGCUAUGAAAAAUCAAGAGAGAAUAUUUUCCCGCCAAAAUUUCAAUGGCUAAUAUCUCGAAAACAAGCACGUUGACCUAUAUUUUAUUUUUGCUCUUUUUGUUCCUUUAUUAAUCCCCUAUCAAUAUAUACUAGUGUUAUGAAAAGCUUGUUAUUUUGAAACUGAGUAGCGAACUUCCUUUACAUGGUGGAGUCAAAUUUAAAACUAAAACAAAACAAAAAAAGAAAAAGAAAAUGAUAAAAAACUUUAAUCUAACAUGUAAAAUACAGUCACUGCAACUUUUCAAUUUUUACAAAAUCAUAAAAUACCAGAGUAACAUAGCUAUCGGCGGACACCCACAAGAUUGCUAACAGCUACUGUGGUAUAUACAUGACAGUUUGCUACACAGUUCAUGAUUGGGGUUGAUUGUGCAAUGACACUGAAUCCAAAUUGUUUAUAGAUGUUGAUCCUGGAUUUUGAAAUACAGAUGGGGACACUAAGGCAACAUUAAAAGUUGGACAUGUUAAAAGUCUAUGCAGUAACCAAAUGAUAUAUAUAACCCCUCCGGGCCACCCCUAAUUCCCCUAAUUCCGCCUACGUUUAAAUUUUAAUUUUUUUGUAUGUUGGAUAAUCAAUGAUUGGCUGUUAACACCAUAGUCUUGUAUACGGCGAUGACUGAGCAAUCAGAAGAAAGAUAAAUUAUUAUGUGUUGUUAUUUUAUGUUUGUAUGUGGUGAGACUACAACAAAAUAUUGAAUCUGAAUCUGAAUCUGUUAUUUAAAAUUAGAAUUGUAAACGAGUAAUAUAUACCCCGUCCGAGUUUUUGAUAUCGUUGCAUCAGCAUGAUCAUGAUGUAAUAAUCUUAAUCAUACCAUUCAAACACACAUUAUACUGUAACGGUUAUUAUACAUGUUUUUUUUUUAUUUUAAAGAUUUUGUAUUGUUUUGUUGUGUAAAUUCUGGAUGUGUCUAAAAGAUAUAUGUUCGUGUGUGUGUACAUUGCAACUUGUGUGUAUGUGUGUGAUGAGAAGGUUGUACAACUACUAGAGAGAGAGAGAUAAAGAGAGGGAGAACGAGAUUGGGAUGAGAAAAAGAAUUUGUCUAGAGUAUAUAAGCUAGUGAAGAAAGGAAAACAAGAGGAAGAGAGAGAGAGAGUUUCACACAAACUAACAGUAUUCCAUCUACGAUCAAUAUUCAGUAAAACACAUGUGGCUGUCCAAUUUAAAAACCACCAUUUUUAUUUAUUUAUUAUGUUUAUAUGAUAACAUUUGUUAAAUAAAACAUUUUAUUGAAAAA
Mytilus californianus (California mussel) is the source of this 2310-nucleotide long non-coding RNA. RefSeq lists it as uncharacterized. The transcript has 3 exons. The record is from RefSeq and is a predicted model, not a curated record. NCBI's taxonomy places the organism in Eukaryota, Metazoa, Mollusca, Bivalvia, Mytilida, Mytilidae.